This 497-nucleotide ribosomal RNA is filed under the name uncultured bacterium. Its description in RNAcentral is "partial 16S ribosomal RNA". It matches the Rfam family "Bacterial small subunit ribosomal RNA", at positions 28 to 507 of the family's 1533-position model. The record is from RNAcentral.
GAUGAACGCUGGCGGCGUGCCUAAUACAUGCAAGUCGAGCGAACAGACGAGGAGCUUGCUCCCCUGACGUUAGCGGCGGACGGGUGAGUAACACGUGGAUAACCUACCUAUAAGACUGGGAUAACUUCGGGAAACCGGAGCUAAUACCGGAUAAUAUAUUGAACCGCAUGGUUCAAUAGUGAAAGACGGUUUUGCUGUCACUUAUAGAUGGAUCCGCGCCGCAUUAGCUAGUUGGUAAGGUAACGGCUUACCAAGGCAACGAUGCGUAGCCGCCCUGAGAGGGUGAUCGGCCACCCUGGAACUGAGACACGUUCCAGACUCCUACGGGAGGCAGCAGUAGGGAAUCUUCCGCAAUGGGCGAAAGCCUGACGGAGCAACGCCGCGUGAGUGAUGAUGGUCUUCGGAUCGUAAAACUCUGUUAUUAGGGAAGAACAAAUGUGUAAGUAACUAUGCACGUCUUGACGGUACCUAAUCAGAAAGCCACGGCUAACUACGUG